Thalassophryne amazonica is the source of this 493-nucleotide long non-coding RNA. RefSeq lists it as uncharacterized. The transcript has 6 exons. Lineage: Eukaryota; Metazoa; Chordata; Actinopteri; Batrachoidiformes; Batrachoididae. The record is from RefSeq and is a predicted model, not a curated record.
AUUUUGGUCAGGUGACUUUAAGGAGGAAUUGAACGCUCAGUGGUGCAGGAAAUGUAGCUCGAAUUUUGCUUCAUUUUCGUUUCAGUCAUGCACUGUAACGGAAUAUGUAAUUUAUUAAAGGCGUGGAUUAUUUACGUCACUGUUUUGUUGAAUCAUGGAUUCGGGGGUAAAAUGAAAAUUGUAGAAGAACCAAACACAUUUGGGCUGAAUAAUCCUUUUCUGAAUCAGGGAAGCAGACUGCAGCCUAAAGUAACUCCAUCCUGUGUCUGGGCCUGCACACCUUCACCGGCUGGCUGGAAAGUGCUUCAGUCUCACAGAGUCAACGUAUAAAUAUGAAUUCUGUCCCUUUCACAACGUCACCCAGCACGAGGAGUCGUUUAGAUGGAAUGCUUACAGUGGGAUACUGGGCAUCUGGCAGGAGUGGGAGAUAGCGAACAACACUUUCACAGGCAUGUGGAUGAGGAGGGAGAUACAUGUGGGACCAGAAACAGAG